AACGCAUCUUGCACCCUUUGGCAUUCCGAAGGGUAUGCCUGUUUGAGUGUCUUUAACAACAUCAACUCUGUCCGUGAGGGUAACGCCUCUCGGGUGGAUGUUGGACGUGAGUGCUGCCGUGAUUCUUUUGCCGGCUCACUUGAAAAGCCUUAAGCCUGGUCUCUGACGGUCUUGACUCCUGUCGGGUUGGUGUGGUAGAACUCCCUAUGGGAUUUAAAUCGCCUCCGAUGGAUGUUGUCGACCUCGUGGUGGGCUUCUGUCCGCACUUCGGUGUGGAACUUUUUGAUCGGACCUCAAAUCAGGUAGGACUACCCGCUGAACUUAA
This 325-nucleotide unclassified non-coding RNA is filed under the name uncultured fungus. RNAcentral's name for it is "sequence contains ITS2". The record is from RNAcentral. Lineage: Eukaryota; Fungi.